UACGUAGGCAGCGAGCGUUGUUCGGAGUUACUGGGCGUAAAGAGUGCGUAGGCGGUUUUUCAAGUUUGGUGUGAAAUCUCCCGGCUUAACUGGGAGGGUGCGCCGAAAACUGGGAGGCUAGAGUAUGGGAGAGGUAAGCGGAAUUCCUGGUGUAGCGGUGAAAUGCGUAGAUAUCAGGAGGAACACCUGCGGUGUAGACGGCUUACUGGACCAUAACUGACGCUGAGGCACGAAAGCGUGGGUAGCAAACAGG
Molecule: ribosomal RNA, 253 nt
Filed under: uncultured bacterium
Lineage: Bacteria
Description: partial 16S ribosomal RNA
Rfam family: Bacterial small subunit ribosomal RNA
Source: RNAcentral